UAUGGCGACCGGCGCACGGGUGAGUAACACGUAUCCAACCUGCCGAUGACUCGGGGAUAGCCUUUCGAAAGAAAGAUUAAUACCCGAUGGCAUAAUUAGACCGCAUGGUCUUAUUAUUAAAGAAUUUCGGUUAUCGAUGGGGAUGCGUUCCAUUAGGCAGUUGGUGAGGUAACGGCUCACCAAACCUUCGAUGGAUAGGGGUUCUGAGAGGAAGGUCCCCCACAUUGGAACUGAGACACGGUCCAA
This 246-nucleotide ribosomal RNA is filed under the name uncultured bacterium. RNAcentral describes it as "partial 16S ribosomal RNA". It matches the Rfam family "Bacterial small subunit ribosomal RNA", at positions 87 to 334 of the family's 1533-position model. The record is from RNAcentral.